Molecule: ribosomal RNA, 492 nt
Filed under: uncultured bacterium
Lineage: Bacteria
Description: partial 16S ribosomal RNA
Rfam family: Bacterial small subunit ribosomal RNA
Source: RNAcentral
AGUGAACGCUGGCGGUAGGCCUAACACAUGCAAGUCGAACGGCAGCACAGUAAGAGCUUGCUCUUAUGGGUGGCGAGUGGCGGAUGGGUGAGGAAUACAUCGGAAUCUACUUUUUCUUGGGGGAUAACGUAGGGAAACUUACGCUAAUACCGCAUACGACCUACGGGUGAAAGCAGGGGAUCUUCGGACCUUGCGCGAUUGAAUGAGCCGAUGUCGGAUUAGCUAGUUGGCGGGGUAAAGGCCCACCAAGGCGACGAUCCGUAGCUGGUCUGAGAGGAUGAUCAGCACCACGGGAACAGGGACACGGGCCAGGCUCCUACGGGCGGCAGCAGUGGGUAAUAAUGCAGAAUGGGGGCGAGCUUGAUCCAGCCAUCCCGAGUGGGUUAAGAAGGCCUUCGGGUUGGGAAACCCUUCUGUUGCGGACGAAAAGCGGCCGGUUAAUGCCCCGCUCUUCUGACGGUACCCAAAGAAUAAGCACCGGGUAACUACGUA